Molecule: non-coding RNA, 24 nt
Filed under: Arabidopsis thaliana (thale cress)
Lineage: Eukaryota; Viridiplantae; Streptophyta; Magnoliopsida; Brassicales; Brassicaceae
Source: RNAcentral
ACACGUGUCAUCAAAGUAGAGUGU